This 747-nucleotide ribosomal RNA is filed under the name Triticum aestivum (bread wheat). RNAcentral's name for it is "partial small subunit ribosomal RNA". Lineage: Eukaryota; Viridiplantae; Streptophyta; Magnoliopsida; Poales; Poaceae. The record is from RNAcentral.
AUGAAGAUUUUAGCAUGGAACUGUAACGGGCUCGGGAAUGCCCCGGCAGUUAGAGCUUUGUUGGAUGUCCAACGGAGAUGUGAUCCCGAGGUGUUGUUUUGGUCGGAGGCACACCUAGACAGCUACCCGGCAGAGAGCUUAAGAAGGAGACUGAACAUGGACCAAAAAUUCGUUUGCCCUAGCAACGGAAGGAGAGGAGGUUUGAUCAUGCUCUGGAGGAAUACGGUUAAUGUGCAGAGGCUCGAACUGGAUCCAAUGUUUAUAGAUGUGCAAAUAAAUGACAGCAGUAAUACAUCUUGGCACCUGACAGGGAUGUAUGGAGAGUUCAGAUGGGAGAACAAGUUCAUGACUUGGGAUCGCAUGCGGCGACUCCACGAAAACCAUCAACUCCCAUGGUUACUUAUCGGCGAUCUCAACGAGAUUCAGUUGUUGCAUGAGAAGGAAGGAGGCAACCCUCGUCGACAACAAUACAUGCAUGCUUUUCAGAACGCAAUUGAUGACUGUGACUUAAGGGACUUGGGAUUUAUUGGAGACAAAUUCACUUGGCAGCGUGGGAGGAUCAGAGAAAGACUUGACCGUGGUCUGGUCAAUACCGCAUGGGCCGAUUUGUUUCCGCAAGCUGCGCUAGAGAACUUGGAAUAUAAUCAUUCGGAUCAUCGCCCUCUACUAGUUAAUACAGAUUUUUAUGGUGACCCAAUGGAUGGGGGACACAACGUACCACCUAGGAGGUUGAGGCGCGCUGGUUAA